This 483-nucleotide ribosomal RNA is filed under the name Brachistosternus montanus. Its description in RNAcentral is "partial 16S ribosomal RNA". It matches the Rfam family "Archaeal large subunit ribosomal RNA", at positions 1910 to 2669 of the family's 2987-position model. The record is from RNAcentral. Lineage: Eukaryota; Metazoa; Arthropoda; Arachnida; Scorpiones; Bothriuridae.
GGUUUUUGGAAUUUAUCAAAAAUCAGACCUGCUCAAUGUAAAAUAAAUAGCCGCGGUAUUAUGACCGUGCAAAGGUAGCAUAAUAAUUAGUCUUUUAAUUGAGGACUGGAAUGAAUGGUUUGACUAAAUAUUUUUGUCUUAUAUUUAUAUUUCUAAUUUUAUAUUUUAAUAAAAAAGUUAAAAUAAUUUUAAGGGACGAGAAGACCCUAUCAAGCUUUAUAAUUAUUAUUUAUUUUUCAAAUUAAAUAAAAAAUUAUUUUACUGGGGCAGUAGAUAAUAAAAAUAUUAUUUAUAUAUUGUAGUAUUAAACUUUUUAAAAUCAAAAAAUUUUUAAAAAGAAAUAAGUUACUGUAGGGAUAACAGCAUAAUUUUUUUUAAGAGUCCUUAUCAUCAAAAAAGUUUGUGACCUCGAUGUUGGAUUAAGAUUCCUAGUUUACGCAGCAGUAAUAAAAAGGAAGUCUGUUCGACUUUUAAAAUCUUCCA